UACAGAGGGUGCGAGCGUUGUUCGGAAUUAUUGGGCGUAAAGCGCUUGUAGGCGGCCUGUCAAGUCGCGUGUGAAAUCCCCUGGCUUAACCAGGGAAGUGCGCGCGAAACUGAAGGGCUUGAGUGCCGGAGAGGGUCGCGGAAUUCCCGGUGUAGAGGUGAAAUUCGUAGAUAUCGGGAGGAACACCAGUGGCGAAGGCGGCGACCUGGACGGACACUGACGCUGAGACGCGAAAGCGUGGGGAGCAAACAGG
This 253-nucleotide ribosomal RNA is filed under the name uncultured bacterium. Its description in RNAcentral is "partial 16S ribosomal RNA". It matches the Rfam family "Bacterial small subunit ribosomal RNA", at positions 524 to 776 of the family's 1533-position model. The record is from RNAcentral.